AUACGGAGGGUGCAAGCGUUACUGGGAAUCACUGGGCGUAAAGCGCGCGCAGGCGGCUAUUUAAGUUGGAUGUGAAAGCCUACGGCUCAACCGUAGAACUGCAUCCAAAACUAUUUAGCUAGAGUGUGGGAGAGGAAGAUGGAAUUAGUUGUGUAGGGGUAAAAUCCGUAGAGAUAACUAGGAAUACCAAAAGCGAAGGCAAUCUUCUGGAACACUACUGACGCUGAGGCGCGAAAGCGUGGGGAGCAAACAGGAUUAGAUACCCUAGUAGUCC
This 274-nucleotide ribosomal RNA is filed under the name uncultured bacterium. Its description in RNAcentral is "partial 16S ribosomal RNA". It matches the Rfam family "Bacterial small subunit ribosomal RNA", at positions 523 to 796 of the family's 1533-position model. The record is from RNAcentral.